RNAcentral lists this ribosomal RNA (515 nucleotides) under uncultured bacterium. Its description in RNAcentral is "partial 16S ribosomal RNA". It matches the Rfam family "Bacterial small subunit ribosomal RNA", at positions 28 to 523 of the family's 1533-position model. The record is from RNAcentral.
GAUGAACGCUGGCGGCGUGCCUAAUACUUGCAAGUCGAGCGAAUGGAUUAAGAGCUUGCUCUUAUGAAGUUAGCGGCGGACGGGUGAGUAACACGUGGGUAACCUGCCCAUAAGACUGGGAUAACUCCGGGAAACCGGGGCUAAUACCGGAUAAUAUUUUGAACUGCAUGGUUCAAAAUUGAAAGGCGGCUUCGGCUGUCACUUAUGGAUGGACCCGCGUCGCAUUAGCUAGUUGGUGAGGUAACGGCUCACCAAGGCAACGAUGCGUAGCCGACCUGAGAGGGUGAUCGGCCACACGGGGACUGAGACACGGCCCAGACUCCUACGGGAGGCAGCAGUAGGGAAUCUUCCGCAAUGGACGAAAGUCGGACGGAGCAACGCCGCGUGAGUGAUGAAGGCUUUCGGGUCGUAAAACUCUGUUGUUAGGGAAGAACAAGUGCUAGUUGAAUAAGCUGGCACCUUGACGGUACCUAACCAGAAAGCCACGGCUAACUACGUGCCAGCCGCCGCAGUAA